GUAUUGAUAGCGCGUGAUUGCGCAAAGAACAUUCUACACUAGGGCGUUUGAUGUUAAAAACGUGAGCACCCCCCCCUCCGAGGAAGGGAGGACACACGCGGUGAUGCACAAAGGGGUAAGAUGGAUAUUUGUAUGUGAGAGCACUCGGGCGUGCACGACGAAAAGUCAGCGACAACCCGGGUACCCCCAUUGUACGAUAAUGAUCCUUCCGCAGGUUCACCUACGGAAA
RNAcentral lists this unclassified non-coding RNA (229 nucleotides) under uncultured fungus. RNAcentral's name for it is "sequence contains ITS1". The record is from RNAcentral. Lineage: Eukaryota; Fungi.